This 644-nucleotide long non-coding RNA is filed under the name Rattus norvegicus (Norway rat). RNAcentral describes it as "long non-coding RNA NONRATT007987". The stretch from base 575 to 643 matches the Rfam family "tRNA". Lineage: Eukaryota; Metazoa; Chordata; Mammalia; Rodentia; Muridae. The record is from RNAcentral.
CAAGUCCAUAAAGAAUCCAGAACUUUGGGGCUGGGGAUUUAGCUCAGUGGUAGAGCGCUUACCUAGGAAGCGCAAGGCCCUGGGUUCGGUCCCCAGCUCCAAAAAAAAGAACCAAAAAAAAAAAAGAAUCCAGAACUUUACAAAUUGCCUUCCUAGUGACCAUCAAUAGAAAAUGGUGAUUUCUAAGGAACAGUAUCAGUCUGAUGGAAAAGGUGUGGCCAUAUGGAAAAGUGGUGGACCCUAAGUUUCAACACUCGGAUCCACCAUUCCAAAUUGGGGUGGAUGUCCAAAGGAAUAAAAGCUCAGACAGGGACUAUACACGUGUGUUCACCACUGACAAGAGGUGGAAACAACCCAGGCUUCCAGUUAAGUUUGUACACAGACUGUGGUCCAGCUACGGGACAGUGGGCUGUCAUGGUCACAAAACUGAAACCUCAGUGCACUCUGAGAAUGUUCCACCAGAGGAAAGGACCCAGUUACAGGACAGGUGAUGGGGCUGCUUCUGCUCAUCCCGAGCACCGGGCACGGACGCCUCAGUGCUGUGUGUGCUGUUAAGAAUGUAGCUCGAGGGGUUGGGGAUUUAGCUCAGUGGUAGAGCGCUUGCCUAGCAAGCGCAAGGCCCUGGGUUCGGUCCCCAGCUCCGG